GUUCUUAUAGUUGAAGGUACAACGAUGGUUUUUCAGACCAUAGGUCCUAGUUGAUGCCUAGGUGAGAAUU
This 70-nucleotide transfer RNA is filed under the name Formicarius rufipectus. Its description in RNAcentral is "tRNA-Glu". It matches the Rfam family "tRNA". Rfam says of the family: Transfer RNA (tRNA) molecules are approximately 80 nucleotides in length. Their secondary structure includes four short double-helical elements and three loops (D, anti-codon, and T loops). The record is from RNAcentral. Lineage: Eukaryota; Metazoa; Chordata; Aves; Passeriformes; Formicariidae.